CCUACGGGAGGCAGCAGUGAGGAAUAUUGGUCAAUGGACGAGAGUCUGAACCAGCCAAGUAGCGUGAAGGAUGACUGCCCUAUGGGUUGUAAACUUCUUUUAUAUGGGAAUAAAACGUUCCACGUGUGGGAUUUUGUAUGUACCAUAUGAAUAAGGAUCGGCUAACUCCGUGCCAGCAGCCGCGGUAAUACGGAGGAUCCGAGCGUUAUCCGGAUUUAUUGGGUUUAAAGGGAGCGUAGGUGGAUUGUUAAGUCAGUUGUGAAAGUUUGUGGCUCAACCGUAAAAUUGCAGUUGAAACUGGCAGUCUUGAGUACAGUAGAGGUGGGCGGAAUUCGUGGUGUAGCGGUGAAAUGCUUAGAUAUCACGAAGAACUCCGAUUGCGAAGGCAGUUCACUGGACUGCAACUGACACUGAGGCUCGAAAGUGUGGGUAUCAAACAGGAUUAGAUACCCUAGUAGUC
RNAcentral lists this ribosomal RNA (460 nucleotides) under uncultured bacterium. Its description in RNAcentral is "partial 16S ribosomal RNA". It matches the Rfam family "Bacterial small subunit ribosomal RNA", at positions 338 to 795 of the family's 1533-position model. The record is from RNAcentral.